This 348-nucleotide unclassified non-coding RNA is filed under the name Hevea brasiliensis (rubber tree). The record is from RNAcentral. Lineage: Eukaryota; Viridiplantae; Streptophyta; Magnoliopsida; Malpighiales; Euphorbiaceae.
CACUGACAGGCGCAGUGGACAAAUUCAAGAAUAUGAAAACGGAACGCUCAUCCUUUCUUACCUCGCCUCGCUUUUGCGGGGAGAGGUCGCGAGCCAAAAGCGCGUUUACGCGCGUCUUCGACGCGCUAUGGCGAGCGGGUGAGGGGCCUUCUUGCUUCCAUCGGCGUNUCACCCGGAGACUUCGCUGCGCUCAGCCUCCGACCUCUCCCCGUAACAACGGGGAGAGGUGAAGGGUGUCCGCUAUGAUCGUUCUUAAACGUAUCGUGAUCGGACUCGUUGUCGCGUUCAUCGCCGUGGUGUUCGGCCUUUUCGCCUACAACUUCUAUCUCCGCUUCACGGCGGGCGACG